Molecule: ribosomal RNA, 370 nt
Filed under: uncultured organism
Description: bacterial SSU rRNA
Rfam family: Bacterial small subunit ribosomal RNA
Source: RNAcentral
CGAAGGGGGCUAGCGUUGCUCGGAAUUACUGGGCGUAAAGGGCGCGUAGGCGGACAGUUUAGUCAGAGGUGAAAGCCCAGGGCUCAACCUUGGGAUUGCCUUUGAUACUGGCUGUCUUGAGUACGGGAGAGGUGUGUGGAACUCCGAGUGUAGAGGUGAAAUUCGUAGAUAUUCGGAAGAACACCAGUGGCGAAGGCGACACACUGGCCCGUUACUGACGCUGAGGCGCGAAAGCGUGGGGAGCAAACAGGAUUAGAUACCCUGGUAGUCCACGCCGUAAACGAUGAGUGCUAGUUGUCGGCAUGCAUGCAUGUCGGUGACGCAGCUAACGCAUUAAGCACUCCGCCUGGGGAGUACGGUCGCAAGAUUA